This is an RNA transcript of Nematostella vectensis (starlet sea anemone), 1153 nucleotides long. RefSeq lists it as uncharacterized. The record is from RefSeq and is a predicted model, not a curated record. Lineage: Eukaryota; Metazoa; Cnidaria; Anthozoa; Actiniaria; Edwardsiidae. The transcript has 4 exons.
AUGACAAAAGCAAGGAGGGCCCAUAACUCAAAAACUAGGCAGGGCACCAUAGUAGGGCUGGGAACAGGGAAGCGCAUUGAUUACGCCACACGGAAUACCUAUUGCCGGAAAUGUCAGCAUGGAGAAAGAUGUGGCAGUAUUCGACCACAUGACUGCCGGCUAAACCAUAAAUGCUCGGCGAAAUCAAUGGAGGCCUCGAUCGCCGUCGAAAUUUGCAAGCGAGAUGAUUAUCGAGUAUUGAUCGGUGACGAUGACUCUACGAUCAUUUGCCGUCUUCGGUUAACUCCAAUAUGGAAAAAUGGUCAGACAUUUACCAAGCAACCUGUACAGGCGCUAUACGAAGGUAGGGGUCAGGACCUUGGUCCAGAAGAUAAAUUAACUGAACUGGUCAUAGAGGAUAUCAAAUACUGCUUUGCUUGUGCGGUUCACCAGAACAAGAACGAUGUAAAAAGCCUCAUAGCGGCAAUCGACACUAUCGUGCCACACAGUUUUGGAGAGCACAAGAAGUGCGGGGCAUGGUGCCGAUAUAGUGAAAACCCAGAUGGCUAUCGUCACUCCACCGGGCGGCAAAGACCUGAAAGGAGAAGGACUCAGGCGCUUUCUAGUGGCGAAGAAGCCACUUACGAUAUUGAUGAUUGCAUCAAUAUCGUUAUUGGCACGAAAAAUUCCAAAAAGCGUUUCUAUGGCGGGUCAAAAAGCAGCGACUACAGGAUUGCCAAAGGUGUAGUUCAGUACAACGAACGCCACUCGUACCUACGUACCGUGCAGCCAGAACUGGGAUCGACUCCUACAUCAACAGGAUGCAGCGGAAGAGAAAACAGUCAGAAGAAAGAAAACAACAAAAAGAGAAAAAAAAAGGAGAAAGGAACUUAAACCAGGGGGUCAAACCAGUGAAAAGCCCCCCAAAAAGGCAGACUAUAUCCCAGAAGACCUCAACGUUGUGGUGUUCGACCUGGAGACCACAAGGCUACGAAAGGAUGCAGAUCUGACACAGAUUGCAAGCGUUGGACUCGAAAGCGAAAGCGAGUUCUCAGCCUACAUCCUUCCCACCUGCCCCAUCAAUCCGGCCGCAACGAAAGCGACUGGUCUCUCUAUUGGCUUUACACUCGGGCUGUUUAAGCUACGAAAGUUUCUGCAAUCGCAUUCAGGGUGA